Hippocampus zosterae (dwarf seahorse) is the source of this 528-nucleotide long non-coding RNA. RefSeq lists it as uncharacterized. The record is from RefSeq and is a predicted model, not a curated record. Lineage: Eukaryota; Metazoa; Chordata; Actinopteri; Syngnathiformes; Syngnathidae. The transcript is spliced from 2 exons.
GAGGAUUAGGGCCAAUGAAGAAAGAAAAAAUAAGGUUGACAAGAUUCUGACUUUAAUCUCAGAAUUCUCACUUUAAAGUCAGAAUUCUGACUUUAAUCUCAGAAUUCUGACUUUGUGACGUUCGUGGAGCUAUGAAUUGUGGGGGGACCGUCAGCGUGUGGCGUGACUUGAAAGAAAGUACAUCAUGUCAUCACCCAGCGACUUUUUGCGUGGCCGAGGAGUGUCGGAGGACAUCCUUUCACUUUUGGUGGAGCAGAGGAUAAAGUGACUGAUGGAGGAUGCAACUCAAACAGUGGCUGGAAAUCCAGAUUUGGAUGACAUGAUCAAGCUAUGUUUUAGACUUGGAUUUAGCAAUAAGGAAAUACUUGCAAUUUUAGCACAUAAUGCUGAAACUAUUUUAAGUAUUCGGACUCUGAAAAGGAUAUGCAAAAGACUUGGUCUUUUUCGAAGAAAGAACCAGUCAGACCUGGGAGACGUGUUGGCUUUUGUCCAGCACGAGAUCAUGACUAGUGGACAGAUGCAAGGUUA